GACGAACGUUGGCGGCGUGCCUAAUACAUGCAAGUCAACUGAAAUACCGGUAGCAAUACUGGUAUGGAGGUGGCGCACGGGUGAGUAACACGUAGGUAAUCUGCCUUCAGGUCUGACAUAACCCAUCGAAAGGUGAGCUAAUAUCAGAUGAUGCAGCGGCUUGACAUCAAGACAGUUGUUAAAGCUUCGGCGCUUGAAGAUGAGCCUGCGUC
Molecule: ribosomal RNA, 212 nt
Filed under: uncultured bacterium
Lineage: Bacteria
Description: partial 16S ribosomal RNA
Rfam family: Bacterial small subunit ribosomal RNA
Source: RNAcentral